GGUCAAGAAAAAAUGUGAUGACCAGACUCCAUAUGAUUCUACAAAAACGCAGCAAACAUCAUGCCCUCCGUUCGAGAACAAAAAGAACGGGAAAAUGGUUGGAGAAUCUCUGCUUGAAGGUGCCACUAAGAAUGUGACCUGCCACCCCGGAUACAGUCCUCGAGACAUAAAUAACGUUGUCAGCCAAUGUAAAAAUAGCCAAUGGACGAAAAUUACGGAGUGUGCUAUAGUGUGCCCUACUUUUGAGAACAACAACAACGGUAAAGUUGAAGGAGACUCUCUGUUUGAAGGUGCAACUAGAAAUUUGACUUGCAAUCCCGGAUACAGUCCCCGAGACAGCAAUGCUGUAUUGAGCCUUUGUCAAAAUGGCCAAUGGACAAAAAUAACGGAAUGUA
This is a long non-coding RNA of Dreissena polymorpha, 395 nucleotides long. RefSeq lists it as uncharacterized. The transcript is spliced from 3 exons. The record is from RefSeq and is a predicted model, not a curated record. Lineage: Eukaryota; Metazoa; Mollusca; Bivalvia; Myida; Dreissenidae.